CAUGAUUGGAAUCAAUAAGCUACAGGUGAGAACACAUUUCCGUGUGUUUGGAUGUGGACCUAAGAGAUUAUUUAUUUCAUUAACUUCAGAAAAGGAACAAUGCCUUAAGUAAGCAGAAAAGCCUGUUCAGUAUCUUUGACCACAAGUCUGAAUCCCAGACAUUACCAUAGGAGGUUACUAAUUGGUCAUAGUUGAUUACAUCACAAUAGGUGUGGCCCUAUAAAGGCCAGACCAGCUUCAGCCUUAGGCUAAUUUCUCCUAAGGGUGUGUAGUGGUUUGGAGGGUUUUUAAAAUUGUUGUUGUUAUGUUUUUAUUUUAUUUUACUUUAUUUUUAAAUAGAGAUGAGGUCUUGCUAUGUUGUCCAGGCUGGUCUCAAACUCCUGGGCUCAAGCAAUUUGCCUGUCUUGGCCUCCCAAAGUGCUGGGAUUGCAGAUGUGAGCCAUUGCUAUAUGUUGGCCCUUGGUAUAUUUUAAAUAGUUAAAAAUACUGUUUUUUUUUUUUUCUUGCUGAAUACUUACUUAGGGAAAUUGGUUUGUGUCUGUGGCAAAGGAAUUCAACAAUGUUUUCUUUCAUUCUCAGUUCACACGAUUUUGAGAAAAUAGAAGACUAUCAUUUACAGCUGGUGUGGCCCUGUGGCGGUGUGGACCCAGAUUUCAAGCACAGAGGAAGAUCAGACACUGAUGUCCUGCAUCUGAUAUGUAUAUAACACAAUUCUCAAUUGUCCUUUGAUUGUGUUUUACUCCCUUCUGUACAAUAGACUCAUUUUUAAAGCAAAAGUUGAAGAAAGUGAACAAAAACAGCAGUGGAAAGUUCAUAAAAGACAAAUGAAGAAUUCAGAGCCCAAUCCUAACCUCAAGCCAAGAAGUAAGAAAAGGAAGAAAAAAUCAAGAAACUCAGAACAGAACCCCAGCAACAUUGAACCAAGGAGCAUGGACGCUCAGGCUGUUCAUAGAUUUCAGGAUCAUUUCCACUACUUCCACAGGCAGAUAGAGGGCCAUCCCCACCACCGUCUCUACCACCACCGUCUCUUCCCAGAGGAGUUUUUACUCUUCCUCCAACUCCUUUACCUGAGCUAAGUGGUAAACCAUCAUCAUCACCAUCACCUUUGGAGACCUCCUCUACCACCACCUUUGUUGAGAGGCCUACUCUCCAGGAUCCCCACCUGCUCUGUCUUAUGGAGUGAAACAGAAAUAAAUGUGUAAGACUCAAUUACAUAUGUUGAUUCUUGAACUACAUGAGAAUUCUCCUUGAAGAGAAUCAACUCAUCAAGGCAAAACUUUAAAUAGUUUUUGAUGACUUUGGUCCACUGGUGAUCAUUAAUGAGUGAAAAGUGAUUAGGUGGCUGGGCAUGGUGGCUCACACCUAUAAUCUCAGCACUUUGGGAGGCCACAGUGGGUGGAUCACUUGAGGCCAGGAUUUUGAGACCGGCCUGGGCAACAUGGUAAAACACCAUCUCUACUAAAAAAUACACAAAUUAACCAGGCAUGGUGGAAGGUGCCUGUAAUCCCAGCUACUCGGGAGGCUGAGGCAGGAGAAUCACUUGAACCCAGGAGGCGGAGGUUGCAGUGAACCAAGAUCAUGCCACUGCACUCCAGCCUGGGCAACAGAGCAAGAUUCUAUCUCAGAAAAAAAAAAAAGCAUAAAAGAAAGCUGAUUAGCCAUGUAUAAGUAUUGUAUAAUGUUAGAGAAUAUGACUGCUCAUUUUUUAUUUCCUUUGUGAGCUCACCAUGUUAUCAAUACAAUAUCUCAAUAAAUAGAAAGUCUAUAGAGAAUAUUAAAUUCAUGUAGAAGGCAAAGAUAAAUUAUUAAAGUGGUGUAAUGAUAAUUGUAUUAGUUUUUCAGGGCUUUCAUACAAAAUUCCUAUAAACUAGGUGGCUCCAAGCAACAAAAAUUUAUCUCUCACAGUUUUGGAGUCCAGAAGUUCAAAGUCAAAGUGUUGGCAGGGCGACACUUUCUUUGGACGUCCUAGCAGAGUAAUUGUUCCUUGUCUCUUCCAGCUUCUGGAUAGUUGUUGGCAUUAAUUGGUUUGUGGCCACCUCUCUCUCUACUCCGUGUUCUCAUAGCCUUCCCCUCUGUAUGUCUGUAAA
Molecule: long non-coding RNA, 2087 nt
Organism: Papio anubis (olive baboon)
Lineage: Eukaryota; Metazoa; Chordata; Mammalia; Primates; Cercopithecidae
Source: Ensembl